Molecule: ribosomal RNA, 161 nt
Filed under: uncultured bacterium
Lineage: Bacteria
Description: partial 16S ribosomal RNA
Rfam family: Bacterial small subunit ribosomal RNA
Source: RNAcentral
CUCCUACGGGAGGCAGCAGUGGGGAAUAUUGGACAAUGGGCGAAAGCCUGAUCCAGCCAUGCCGCGUGUGUGAAGAAGGUCUUCGGAUUGUAAAGCACUUUAAGUUGGGAGGAAGGGCAGUAAGUUAAUACCUUGCUGAUUUGACGUUACCAACAGAGAUA